AGUCGAGGGGCAGCGGGAUUGAAGCUUGCUUCAAUUGCCGGCGACCGGCGCACGGGUGAGUAACGCGUAUCCAACCUUCCGCUUACUCGGGGAUAGCCUUUCGAAAGAAAGAUUAAUACCCGAUGGUAUCUUAAGCACGCAUGAGAUUAAGAUUAAAGAUUUAUCGGUAAGCGAUGGGGAUGCGUUCCAUUAGGCAGUUGGCGGGGUAACGGCCCACCAAACCUACGAUGGAUAGGGGUUCUGAGAGGAAGGUCCCCCACAUUGGAACUGAGACACGGUCCAAACUCCUACGGGAGGCAGCAGUGAGGAAUAUUGGUCAAUGGGCGAGAGCCUGAACCAGCCAAGUAGCGUGAAGGAUGACGGCCCUACGGGUUGUAAACUUCUUUUGUGCGGGAAUAAAGGAACCUACGUGUAGGUUUUUGCAUGUACCGUAACGAAUAAGCAUCGGCUAACUCCGUGCCAGCAGCCGCGGUAAUACGGAGGAUGCGAGCGUUAUUCGGAUUUAUUGGGUUUAAAGGGAGCGUAGACGGGUUUUUAAGUCAGCUGUGAAAGUUUGGGGCUCAACCUUAAAAUUGCAGUUGAAACUGGAGACCUUGAGUACGGUUGAGGCAGGCGGAAUUCGUGGUGUAGCGGUGAAAUGCUUAGAUAUCACGAAGAACCCCGAUUGCGAAGGCAGCCUGCUAAGCCGCCACUGACGUUGAGGCUCGAAAGUGCGGGUAUCAAACAGGAUUAGAUACCCUGGUAGUCCGCACGGUAAACGAUGGAUACUCGCUGUUGGCGAUAGACUGUCAGCGGCCAAGCGAAAGCGUUAAGUAUCCCACCUGGGGAGUACGCCGGCAACGGUGAAACUCAAAGGAAUUGACGGGGG
RNAcentral lists this ribosomal RNA (868 nucleotides) under uncultured bacterium. Its description in RNAcentral is "bacterial SSU rRNA". It matches the Rfam family "Bacterial small subunit ribosomal RNA", at positions 60 to 919 of the family's 1533-position model. The record is from RNAcentral.